GACGAACGCUGGCGGCGUGCUUAACACAUGCAAGUCGAACGGAAAGGCCUCUUUCGGGGGGUACUCGAGUGGCGAACGGGUGAGUAACACGUGAGUAACCUGCCCUUGACUUUGGGAUAACUUCAGGAAACUGGGGCUAAUACCGGAUAGGAGCUCCUGCUGCAUGGUGGGGGUUGGAAAGUUUCGGCGGUUGGGGAUGGACUCGCGGCUUAUCAGCUUGUUGGUGGGGUAGUGGCUUACCAAGGCUUUGACGGGUAGCCGGCCUGAGAGGGUGACCGGCCAAAUUGGGACUGAGAUACGGCCCAGACUCCUACGGGAGGCAGUAGUGGGGAAUAUUGCACAAUGGGUGGAAGCCUGAUGCAGCAACGCCGUGUGCGGGAUGACGGCCUUCGGGUUGUAAACCGCUUUCGCUCAUGACGAAGCUUUGUGUGACGGUAGUGGGUAAAGAAGCACCGGCUAACUACGUG
This 467-nucleotide ribosomal RNA is filed under the name uncultured bacterium. RNAcentral's name for it is "partial 16S ribosomal RNA". It matches the Rfam family "Bacterial small subunit ribosomal RNA", at positions 28 to 507 of the family's 1533-position model. The record is from RNAcentral.